UGGCCUGCGCUGCUCCGGGCUCGGCCAAUGGGCGCAGCGGUUGUUGCCCGGUGCUGGUGGCUGACUAAGAUGGCGGAGCGUUUUGCUUGAGGCGUCGACUGCAGGAACCGGGGCCCCAGUUUGGAUUUUAGGCUGAAAAACCCAGCACUCAAAGAUGAAGGUGGUAAACCUGAGGCAAGCCAUUCUCCAGGCAUGGAAGGAACGAUGGACAGACUAUCAAUGGGCCAUAAACAUGAAAAAUCUUUUUCCAAAGGGUCCAACCUGGGACCUCCUUGGACUCUCAGAUCAUUUGCUGGAACAAGCGUUGGUUGGCCCUUCACCAAAUCCACUGAUUAUGUCCUAUUUGAAGUAUGCAAUUAGUUCACAGAUGGUGUCUUACGCAAGCGUGAUGUCUUCUAUUGCAAAGUUUGAAGAUUACUCCAGGGAAUUGUGUGUUAAAGCUCUAUUAGAACUGAUGGACAUGUUUUGUGAUCGACUCAGCUGUCAAGGAAAAGCAGAAGAAUGCAUAAGUCUCUGUCGUGCUUUGCUAAGCACACUAGGAUGGCUGCUGAAGUGUGCUGCUCAUUUUACUGAAAGGCUGAAAGAGGGGCCAGAUGCAUCUUCCGGAGAAGAACAGCUCCAACUCUGUGUUAACCGGAUUGAGAAAGUAGUGAUCAGGAGAAAGAAUAGAGCUCUUCUUCAUAUAGCGAGACUGGAAGAGCCAGUUACGUGGGCUAAUGUGGAGCAAGCAUUCAUCAAGCUAACAGAACACUGUAACAAAAUAAGUAAUCAGCAGCUCCGACUAAAGCUGGAUGAAUGCAUUGGAUUGAUUAAGAGUAUUUCAGUCAUAACAACGCAGACUGAGCAGAACACCAAGAUGGAAUUCCCAACUGUUCAUGCCUUGAUUAUAUUGGAAGGAACUCUAAAUCUCACAUCUGAUACCCAAUCACUUGUUGAACAACUGAUCAUGGUGAAAAGAAUGCAGCGAAUCCCCUCGCCUCUCUUUUUACUGGAAAUCUGGAAGGCCUGUUUUGUCGGUCUUAUUGAAUCCCCAGAGGGAACUCAAGAGUUAAAAUGGACGGCAUUCACAUUCCUCAAGAUUCCACAGGCAUUACUGAAGCUCAAGGAAUACCCUCUUGGCGAUAAAGACUUCACUGAAGAUGUGAACACUGCCUUUGAGUUUUUGCUUAAACUUACUCCACUUUUGGACAAAGCAGAUCAGCGAUGCAACUGUGACUGCGUCAGUCUCCUGCUUCAGGAAUGUGGGAAACUAGGGUUGCUUUCAGAGGACAACAUGAAUAACCUGGUUAACAAAAGGACAGCAGAUAGAGAGCUGGCUCCCCAACUAAAAUCUGCUGAAAAUGCCAGCAUUCAGCCCAACCCAGGCCUGAUUCUGCGUGCAGAGCCCACCGUCACAAAUAUUUUAAAGACCAUGGAUGCGGACCACUCCAAAUCCCCCGAGGGGUUGUUGGGAGUCCUGGGUCACAUGCUUUCAGGGAAGAGCCUGGAUUUACUGUUAGCAGCUGCUGCAGCUACUGGAAAAUUGAAAUCUUUUGCCCGGAAGUUUGUCAAGUUAAAUGAGUUUGCCAAGAACAUCACUAUGGAAGGAUCAAAAGCAGCCUCUGUGCGAGCAUUACUGUUUGACAUUUCCUUCCUCAUGUUGUGUCAUGUUGCUCAGACUUAUGGAUCUGAUGUAAUUCUGUCGGAGCCCUGUGCGUCAGGGGAGGUGGUCUUCUUUGAGACCUGGAUGCUGACUUGCAUGCCCGAGGAAGGGAAAAUUCUAAAUCCAGAGCAAGGCUUUCGUGCCGAUCCCACUAAAGUAGAAUCGCUGAUGACGCAUCUCAACUCCUCUGCUGAAAUGAAACUUGUGCAGGUGAAGUGGCAUGAAGUAUGCUCUUGUACACCAGCUGCUAUUCUGGAGGUCCUAAAUGCCUGGGAACAUGGCCUACUGACAUUGGAAGCUGUGCAGAAAAUCACCGAUAACAUCAAGGGGAAGAUUUGCAGCAUGGCUAUCUGUGCAGUAGCAUGGUUAGUAGCGCACGUUAGGAUGUUGGGUCUGGAGGAGCGUGAGAAACCAUUGCAAAUGAUUUUCCAGCUUGUGACACCACUCUAUGCAGAGAACACCCUUCAAUUCUACAAUGAAAGAGUUGCUAUCAUGAACCUGAUCCUGGAGCAGAUGUGUGCCGACGUCUUGCAGCAGACAGCAACCUCCAUAAUGUUUCCCACAGCAAACCUGGGCCCCAUCCCAUACCGCAACCUGCUGCCAGUGAAGAUGCCAAUUAAAGAGGUGCUCAUUACCAAUUUCAACAAUGUACUGAAUAAAGGCUGGGUCGACAGCCGCACUAUCCACGUAUUUGAGGCGCUGCUACAUAUGGGAGGAGUAUACUGGUUCUGCAAUAACUUGGUCAAGGAAUUAUUGAAGGAGACAAGGAAGGAACACUGUUACAAAGCUGUUGAACUCCUACAUAGUGUGUUUUGCUUGGACAUGCAACAGAUCACCUUGGUCCUGCUGGGCCAUAUCCUGCCUGGGCUCCUGACCAAUUCCCUGAAGUGGCAGACCCUCAUGGAUCCACCCGGAAGAGCUCUUGCCAAGCUCUCGGUCUGGUGUUCUCUGAGCUCUCAUUCCACUCAUAACAAGGGUCAGGCCACAGCCAAGCAGAGGAAAAGACACAGAGAGGAUAUUGAGGACUACAUCAAUUUGUUUCCUCUGGAUGAUAGCCAACCAUCAAAACUGUUACGAUUGUUAAGCUCGAAUGAAGAGGAUCCGAAUAUCCUUUCCAGUCCUGGUGACCGUUCAAUGAGCAGCUCACUGACUGCCUCUCAGCUUCACAACAUAAAUAUGAGAGAUCCCUUGAACAGAGUAUUGGCAAACCUGUUCCUUUUGAUUUCCACAAUCCUGAGCUCAAAGGUGGCUGGUCCACAUACUCAGUUUGUUCAGUGGUUUAUGGAAGAGUGUGUGGAGUGCUUGGACCAAGGAAGUCGUGGUAGCAUUCUCCAGUUCAUGCCUUUUACCAUGGUUUCUGAGCUCGUGAAGUUGCCUGCCCUAUCCAAACCAAAAACAGUACUUGCUAUAACUGAUUUGGGCCUCCCUCUGGGACGUAGGGUUGCCGCAAAGGCGAUUGCUGCACUUUAACGGCUGGCUGGUGAGUCUCUGGGCACGUGAUACAGUGGAGUUGCCUUCACGAACUGCAGUUACUGGUUUACACCGAAGAUAGACACACAAUGCUGGAGUAAUUCAGCAAGACAGGCUGCACCCCUGGAUACAAGGAAUGGGCGAUGUUUCGGGUCAAGAUCCUUCUUCAGACCGGAAACUAUUUUUUUGUUAAUAUUGUUUAGUAUGGUAUUGACAUCAAUUGUUAAAACCCUAAAUGACUGAACACUGUGCAGCAAAUUGCCUAAACAAGAAAUGGUCACUGUAAUGAAUAUGUGAGAGACAGGCUGGACUCGAUGGAAUUGAAGUGAACGAUGGUGCUGAAAGCAGAUAAAGAUGAUGUUUUUUUUACCAUAUAUUUAGGGUUGCAUUUCUCAGGCAGUGGCGAGAUUAGUCCCAACAUUCAUUAAAAGAAUAAAGAAAAAUACAUAAAGUACACUUGUGAAAUGUAGAGUAUAGGAAGUUGGGUAAAACCUGGGCUCGUUAGAGAGAUUUUUAUUUUAUUUUUAAGUGAGAGGGUUUAAAUCUUCCUGCUUAUUUGAGUGUAUAAGAUGUGGCUAGAAACACCCAUAGUUAGAGGACUGGAACUUCAAUCGCCAUCAGCAUGUACACUCCAUAGGAAACUUGGAAGGACUGCUAAUGUGAUUUUUAUAACCUCAAACCAACUGGGGAUUGUAACUAGCAAAUAAACAGUUUGAUAAUGAGUUGAUCUCUUGAUUACUUAUUCUUUUGUGAAUUUGUUACACAUUCUACAUUUUAUAUUUAAGUCAUUUUAAAAAUCAUAUUUAAAAUGAUAUUAAAAUCAUAGUAAACUGUUUGUGUUUUCCUCGGACAACUGUUUGCCAGUUAUGUUCACCGCUGCUGAAAGAUUUGCUGGGAUUUCAAAAGAUACAAUAAAUUGAUUUCAUACAAA
This is an RNA transcript of Leucoraja erinaceus (little skate), 4043 nucleotides long. It is a transcript of the gene named mediator complex subunit 24, with no coding region annotated. The transcript is spliced from 27 exons. NCBI's taxonomy places the organism in Eukaryota, Metazoa, Chordata, Chondrichthyes, Rajiformes, Rajidae. The record is from RefSeq and is a predicted model, not a curated record.